Small nuclear RNA from Zootoca vivipara (common lizard), 166 nucleotides. RefSeq annotates it as U1 spliceosomal RNA. The record is from RefSeq and is a predicted model, not a curated record. Lineage: Eukaryota; Metazoa; Chordata; Lepidosauria; Squamata; Lacertidae.
AUCCUUACCUGGCAGGGGAGAUUCCUUGAUCAGGAAGGAGGUUUUCCCAGGGUGAGGCUCCUCCACUGCACUCUGGGUGUGCUGACCCCUGCGAUUUCCCCAAAUGCGGGAAACUUGACUGCAUUAUUUGUGGGGAGGGGUGAAAGGGUAUUGCUGCCAGGCACUG